AAACAAAUAUAUGUAGGACUCUAAAGUGCGAUGGGGACGCUAAAGUACGAUGGUUACGCUAAAGUGCGAUGGUCCGCGAACGUAUAUACGUAAUAAACGUACUAUGGAUUAUGAUGUGGACAGUCUUUUAUACAAACAAAAAAUUGAACAUGCCGAAAGAAAAAUGUAGAAUAUUUGAUUAACCACUUUAAACCAAUUGCGAAAAAGGUGAAAGCUCGGAGAACAUUGCAUUUCUCUCUCAUUUAAAUUAAGAAUGUUUUAAACAAAUAAAUGUUUCACAAUGAAGGAUUUGUAUUUGUAAUUUACAAUGACAACUUCAAGGGGAGAUUUGACAUUAGUGAUAGACUGUGUGAACGGCAAGUUACGCCACUUAUCCAAAUAUUUGAUACGCCCGAAUUAAAUAUUUUUUUAUCAUAUACAGGAUAUAUAGGUUUUUGUCACACCUAAACUACCAUUUCAGCAAUUAUUAUGUGGUCGUUCUUCUUAAUUUAGAAAAAAAUAGUUAUGCCUACCGGUAAUUAUAAAGCCUAUCACAUAUGUUAUAAAACCUUAUCAUACUAGCUUUUGCAAAAAGGCUAUUUAUCAUUAUAUCCGUAUUCUUUAAAGCUUUUAGCCCUUUAACCUUACCCUUCUGGUCCAUCGCACUUUAGCGUGAUAAACAAUCGUACUUUAGC
Molecule: long non-coding RNA, 674 nt
Filed under: Mytilus galloprovincialis (Mediterranean mussel)
Lineage: Eukaryota; Metazoa; Mollusca; Bivalvia; Mytilida; Mytilidae
Source: RNAcentral